This 497-nucleotide ribosomal RNA is filed under the name uncultured bacterium. RNAcentral's name for it is "partial 16S ribosomal RNA". It matches the Rfam family "Bacterial small subunit ribosomal RNA", at positions 28 to 507 of the family's 1533-position model. The record is from RNAcentral.
GAUGAACGCUGGUGGCGUGCCUAAUACAUGCAAGUCGAGCGAACAGACGAGGAGCUUGCUCCUCUGACGUUAGCGGCGGACGGGUGAGUAACACGUGGAUAACCUACCUAUAAGACUGGGAUAACUUCGGGAAACCGGAGCUAAUACCGGAUAAUAUAUUGAACCGCAUGGUUCAAUAGUGAAAGACGGUUUUGCUGCCACUUAUAGAUGGAUCCGCGCCGCAUUAGCUAGUUGGUAAGGUAACGGCUUACCAAGGCAACGAUGCGUAGCCGACCUGAGAGGGUGAUCGGCCACACUGGAACUGAGACACGGUCCAGACUCCUACGGGAGGCAGCAGUAGGGAAUCUUCCGCAAUGGGCGAAAGCCUGACGGAGCAACGCCGCGUGAGUGAUGAAGGUCUUCGGAUCGUAAAACUCUGUUAUUAGGGAAGAACAAAUGUGUAAGUAACUAUGCACGUCUUGACGGUACCUAAUCAGAAAGCCACGGCUAACUACGUG